UUUGUAGAAGAUGCUUUGGGUCUGGGCCUGGCCUAACCUUCCUUGGAACAGGACGUCGUAGAGGGUGAGAAUCCCGUAUGCGGCUGGCGCCCGUGCCCGUGUAAAGCUCUUUCAACGAGUCGAGUUGUUUGGGAAUGCAGCUCUAAAUGGGUGGUAAAUUUCAUCUAAAGCUAAAUAUUGGCCAGAGACCGAUAGCGCACAAGUAGAGUGAUCGAAAGAUGAAAAGCACUUUGGAAAGAGAGUUAAACAGUACGUGAAAUUGUUGAAAGGGAAGCGCUGGCAACCAGACUUGGGCGCUGUUGAUCCGCUAGGGUUCUCUCUAGGGCACUCGGCAGUGCGCAGGCCAGCAUCGGUUUGGGGGGUUGGAGAAUGGCUGGUGGAAUGUGGCUGUCUUUGGGCAGUGUUAUAGCCACCGGUGGCAUGCAGCCUCCCCGGACCGAGGACCGCGCUUCGGCUAGGAUGCUGGCGUAAUGGUUGUCAGCGACCCGUCUUGAAACACGGACCAAGGAGUCUAACAUCUAUGCGAGUGUUUGGGUGUUAAACCCAUACGCGGAAUGAAAGUGAACGUAGGUGAGAACCCGCAAGGGUGCAUCAUCGACCGAUCCUGAUGUCUUCGGAUGGAUUUGAGUAAGAGCAUAGCUGUUGGGACCCGAAAGAUGGUGAACUAUGCCUGAAUAGGGUGAAGCCAGAGGAAACUCUGGUGGAGGCUCGCAGCGGUUCUGACGUGCAAAUCGAUCGUCAAAUUUGGGUAUAGGGGCGAAAGACUAAUCGAACCAUCUAGUAGCUGGUUCCUGCCGAAGUUUCCUCCAGGAUAG
This 815-nucleotide ribosomal RNA is filed under the name Podosphaera xanthii. RNAcentral describes it as "partial large subunit ribosomal RNA". It matches the Rfam family "Eukaryotic large subunit ribosomal RNA", at positions 149 to 981 of the family's 3401-position model. Lineage: Eukaryota; Fungi; Ascomycota; Leotiomycetes; Helotiales; Erysiphaceae. The record is from RNAcentral.